CAAAAUGAGACGUGACUUAUGUCACUACAUGUGUCUCUCUCGCCUCUGUAAAAGUUCUUUGUUCAUAGCACCCCUCAGUUCUUGGAUGUAGUGAAGGAGGACAUGAGGAUAGUUGGUGUGGGUGAGGAGGAUACAGAGGAUAGGGUUAAAUGGAGGCAGAUGAUUGGCUGUGGAGACCCCUGAAGGGAGCAGCCGAAAGGAAAAGAAGAAGAAGAGUUACAGUAGUGCCCACUAGUGGCAGCGAUGUGAAAUAACGUGAGCACUAUUUUGUGAGCGGGGGUGUCAUUCCCGCCAUAAGAACGUCAUGCGUCUGUAUCAUCCAAUGAGACUCGUCGGGGGUUUUAACCCCGCGAAACUGCAGCAGCAGAUCAGACAGUGAGUGAAGGGAGAGUGAAGAAGCUGCAGCAUGUGGUCUGCUGGGAGAAGCUGCUGCACCAGGGCAGGUUGGUGUCGAUUGCCCUUCACUGGAAGCCAAAGAAGGUGGCACAGUUACUUUUGAGUGUCGUCUGGAUCCCCCAGUCAACUUAUCAACAUACGCACUGGAUUUUAGGACAGCUGACCUCGACGAGGAGGUCUACGUGUAUCCAUUUGGGGACAGGAUUCCGCCACAGAUGAUGGGGUACAGAAACAGGACGAGUCUCAUCCAGGAGCACCUGAGCAGUGGACUCAUUAGACUGAACCUGUCCCGGGUACAGCUGUCUGACAGUGGACCAUACAAAUGCUUUAUCCCCAAACUGAAGGCUGGCUGCACUUUCAACCUCACAGUUGUAAAACCUGAGGCACCAGACAGGAUAGAGGAUGAUAACAACAGUACGACAACACCUCCAGUGGAAAACCAGCCUGGUAAAUAUGUUUUGAAUUAAUGUCGUGUCUUUGACAAACUUUGGUCGGACUGUAAGAGUCUGAGA
This 908-nucleotide long non-coding RNA is filed under the name Mastacembelus armatus (zig-zag eel). RNAcentral describes it as "lncRNA (ENSMAMG00000026983.1)". Lineage: Eukaryota; Metazoa; Chordata; Actinopteri; Synbranchiformes; Mastacembelidae. The record is from RNAcentral.